RNAcentral lists this ribosomal RNA (427 nucleotides) under uncultured bacterium. RNAcentral's name for it is "partial 16S ribosomal RNA". It matches the Rfam family "Bacterial small subunit ribosomal RNA", at positions 355 to 774 of the family's 1533-position model. The record is from RNAcentral.
UGGGGAAUAUUGGACAAUGGGCGAAAGCCUGAUCCAGCCAUGCCGCGUGUGUGAAGAAGGUCUUCGGAUUGUAAAGCACUUUAAGUUGGGAGGAAGGGCAUUAACCUAAUACGUUAGUGUUUUGACGUUACCGACAGAAUAAGCACCGGCUAACUCUGUGCCAGCAGCCGCGGUAAUACAGAGGGUGCAAGCGUUAAUCGGAAUUACUGGGCGUAAAGCGCGCGUAGGUGGUUUGUUAAGUUGGAUGUGAAAGCCCCGGGCUCAACCUGGGAACUGCAUCCAAAACUGGCAAGCUAGAGUACGGUAGAGGGUGGUGGAAUUUCCUGUGUAGCGGUGAAAUGCGUAGAUAUAGGAAGGAACACCAGUGGCGAAGGCGACCACCUGGACUGAUUCUGACACUGAGGUGCGAAAGCGUGGGGAGCAAACA